CGUAAGCGCGGGCGGCUUGUUUCAGACGUCUGCCCUUUUCCGUUCUGUUCGGAGGCUGGAAAGCAGAUGCGGGAGCAGUGCCGCUUCCAGUGUGUUCCGUGUGGACAGGAGUCUAGGGGAGCUCAGCCACGGCCUGUCAGGGGCCUAGGCUUUCUGCGAGGCCUGCGCUCUCUGAACGGGACCGAGUGUAGCUCACGGUGGAAACGCAGCAAGGGCUCCUGACAGGUGUUGUGGCUCCUCUCGCCAGUGAGGCUGUGGACCACCGCAGCUGGAGGAAGAGGCCGUGGGCCCAGAAAUGCAGGCGCCUCCAGAAGCUGGAAAAGACAAGAAAACAGUCAUCCCCCGGGCCUCCAGAAGGAACACAGCCCAGCGACUCCAGUCUCAGCAGACGUCCAAAACUAGCCUCGGGAGCCCCGAGACACAGCGUGCAGGACGAGAGAAGAGAGUGAUCGGCCGUCGGCCCCCCAGAGGCCCGCGUGGAAUUGCCGAGCCAGCAGAGCCGCGCGUCGGACCCCCGGAACAGAGCACUGGUGCUAGAAGACAACGGACCAACAAGCCGGAAAGUACGAGUAUACAUUACGCAAUGGUUCCCACGACCAGAAAUGCAAUCACACGGAUGACUCCCAACUCUGUCUGCCUUCGUUCACCCCCUGAACGUUACGUUUGUGACAUUCAUCCACGUGUGGCGGUAACUCCUUCAUUUCCACCACCGGGCAGCAUUCCAAGGUGUGACCGUGCACAACGCACUCAACCGCCCCCUACCGGCGGCCACGCAGUUUCCGGCUUGGGGCCUCCCUGAACUGUGCCGCUGAACAGGAACGUGCCGAGUCGAGCCGAAGCCAUGCUGCUCUGACUGAUGCUGUUGUACAGCUUUCUACUCUGCAGACUCCGUUAGUAUCCACUACUAAACACACUUGGAUCCCACGCUGAUGACAAGCCUCUGUGGACACCUGGGAGCCUCUGUUUCCAUGUGAGGUAGGACUUCGUUGGCUUCUUUGGGUUACCACCAAAACCAGAUGGGAGUUUCAGACUAGGGAUGUAAGAAUGUGAGUGUCGGCUCCACAAUGGACCACAGCCAGGAACCAGAGCACCUGAGGGAACCCAGGCAUCUGUUCUGCCUUCUUGGCAUGCCUGCCAACCGGGAAGAAGAUGGUUUUUGCCAAAGGCACUCAGGGUUUCUCUACCUGGGGUCGAGAGAGUUGUGCCCAACUCCAGCCAACCCGGAGUCUCUUAGCACCAGGAAAGUCUCUGCCUGGAUCAGCUGUGGUGAAGUCGCCUCCAGAGCAAGGGACUUUGUCAACAGCAGACGCCGAACAAACAUGGCGGUUCCCACUGCGACCAUCAGACGGCUGUUGGAGGGGCGGGCUGAGUGAGAAGGGGCAGUUUCCACGGAAGCCUGAGUAGUUAAGAUCAGACAUCCACACAUUUCAAGGUCUCUGGUGGACGUACAGCCCCAGACCUGGAAACGCAAUUUUAACUAAAGCCCCAAUGUCAAGGGUUUUCUUAUCACCAUUUUCUAUGUAAUUGGCGAUCAUAGCUGGCUGUCUUCAUCUGGGUCCUCCCAGAGGCAGGGCUGAGAUGUAGAUUUGAGUACAAGCGGUUUAUCCAGAGCGUGUGUGGUGCGGUGUGUAAGAUCACUUUGGCACGUUCAGAGUUUUGUCUGGAGACGGAAGGCAACCACUGACAAGGAAAUCACAUGUUUUAUGCAAAUAGGAGAGACAACUCGGUGUAUGUCAGCAUGCCCAAACCCCAAAUAAUCUAUUUUCAAGUUUUAGGGCAGUAAAUCAUUGGCUGUUACCUUCUUUGAAAAACACAAAACUUGUAGAUUAGAGGCAGUGCUGGAAUUCAUUUUCCACGGUGUGUGUGUGUGUGUGUGUGUGUGUGUGUGUGU
Molecule: long non-coding RNA, 1891 nt
Organism: Neofelis nebulosa (Clouded leopard)
Lineage: Eukaryota; Metazoa; Chordata; Mammalia; Carnivora; Felidae
Exons: 7
Source: RefSeq, a predicted model, not a curated record